UGGCAGGUGGCCGCGGUUACACGCGCAUGGGUUUGAGAGAGAGAGCAUCAGCUCAACUCCGUUAAGGAUCAAAGAUGAAAGAGUCCCUCAAAGUCUACAGCUACGAUUGGAGACACACCUGGUGGACGUGUCUGAAUUCAUUUGGAUGGCUGUUGACACUGCUCCCAAAGCAGCUAAUGGAGGCCUGGAUCUUGAACCAGAAGAGGAUGUGUCAGGACUGAAGAUUCAGAGCUGCAUCGAGUAAAAAAUGUCUCACCAUUCUGGAUGUAAAUCUACAGCUAAUAGAGGAUAUUCCAAAUUCGCUGGGCUUAGAUGUUGAACCAGUAGAGUGCAUCUUAGUCUUAUAGAGUCAGCAGUGGAAGACUCUUGGUUAGUUG
This is a long non-coding RNA of Pygocentrus nattereri (red-bellied piranha), 377 nucleotides long. RefSeq lists it as uncharacterized. The record is from RefSeq and is a predicted model, not a curated record. The transcript is spliced from 3 exons. Lineage: Eukaryota; Metazoa; Chordata; Actinopteri; Characiformes; Serrasalmidae.